ACUCCGGUAUUACUCGAGCGGUCACGGCGUCUGGCUACGAACCAGAAGAUUCCAGGUUCAAGUCCUGGCGGGGAA
This 75-nucleotide transfer RNA is filed under the name Saccharomyces cerevisiae (brewer's yeast). It matches the Rfam family "tRNA". Rfam says of the family: Transfer RNA (tRNA) molecules are approximately 80 nucleotides in length. Their secondary structure includes four short double-helical elements and three loops (D, anti-codon, and T loops). Further hydrogen bonds mediate the characteristic L-shaped molecular structure. tRNAs have two regions of fundamental functional importance: the anti-codon, which is responsible for specific mRNA codon recognition, and the 3' end, to which the tRNAs corresponding amino acid is attached (by aminoacyl-tRNA synthetases). tRNAs cope with the degeneracy of the genetic code in two manners: having more than one tRNA (with a specific anti-codon) for a particular amino acid; and 'wobble' base-pairing, i.e. permitting non-standard base-pairing at the 3rd anti-codon position. Lineage: Eukaryota; Fungi; Ascomycota; Saccharomycetes; Saccharomycetales; Saccharomycetaceae. The record is from RNAcentral.